This 490-nucleotide ribosomal RNA is filed under the name uncultured bacterium. Its description in RNAcentral is "partial 16S ribosomal RNA". It matches the Rfam family "Bacterial small subunit ribosomal RNA", at positions 28 to 507 of the family's 1533-position model. The record is from RNAcentral.
GAUGAACGCUAGCUACAGGCUUAACACAUGCAAGUCGCGGGGCAGCAUGGGGGUUGCUUGCAACUCCCGAUGGCGACCGGCGCACGGGUGAGUAACGCGUAUCCAACCUGCCCUUCACCGCGGGAUAACCCGGCGAAAGUCGGACUAAUACCGUAUGUUGUCCAUUGACGGCAUCCGAUUUGGACGAAAGGCUUUGCGGUGAAGGAUGGGGAUGCGUCCGAUUAGCCAGACGGCGGGGUAACGGCCCACCGUGGCUACGAUCGGUAGGGGUUCUGAGAGGAAGGUCCCCCACACUGGAACUGAGACACGGUCCAGACUCCUACGGGAGGCAGCAGUGAGGAAUAUUGGUCAAUGGGCGUAAGCCUGAACCAGCCAAGUAGCGUGCAGGAUGACGGCCCUAUGGGUUGUAAACUGCUUUUAUGCGGGGAUAAAGUGGCCCACGGGUGGGCUUUUGCAGGUACCGCAUGAAUAAGGACCGGCCAAUUCCGUG